This is a long non-coding RNA of Nannospalax galili (Upper Galilee mountains blind mole rat), 1205 nucleotides long. RefSeq lists it as uncharacterized. The record is from RefSeq and is a predicted model, not a curated record. The transcript has 3 exons. NCBI's taxonomy places the organism in Eukaryota, Metazoa, Chordata, Mammalia, Rodentia, Spalacidae.
AUGGCAUCCCUCCUACAGAAAGUGGGCAGGAGCCCCAGCUUCAGCUUCAGAAGAAAUCUCCCUAAAACCUACUGCCAUCAGGAGCCGCUCUUAACAAUGAUCACAAGAAGGCACUGGAAAAGAGAAUUAUUCUAGACUGCAGUUUAUUUGGACUUGCUCCUAUGUGGAAAUCAAGCCUUUGAAGACAGGCAUAAAAUCAUUGUAGGAGGUGAAAGAGGAGUUUCACAGCUGGUGAUCAAAAUGAGUGGCCAGGGAAUUCGUGGGUUUUCAGUUGAUUGGAGGAGGCCCACUCACACUGGAAAACUUGCAGUGAUCCUCAUAUCUCUGUUUCCUGAGUGCUGGGAUUAGAGGAAUGCACCACCAAGACUGACCAAUUCAAGGGUUGAUCACAUUGAAAACUACUUUUGCUGCAACUUCUGUAUUGGUGUUUGAGUGAACAUCUGAAUCCCAUAAUCAACCCAAAGUGACACAUAAAAUUAACCAGGCCAGAUGAUACUGUGGAAUCUCAGAAAAGUGGUGUAUUUGGGAUUUCCACUGAUGGGUGCAUGGCUCCAGGAGCUGUCCAUCAACCCCUAUGGUCUCAUUGUGUGUGUGUUUGUUUGUUUGUAUGUGUGUGUGUUACCUAAGGAACUUCUGUGCUGUUUAUGGGGGAAACCUCCUAAGAUUGCUCAGGUUUCUGCACAUGGCACCUCUGAAAGACCAGUCCCUGGGUUCCACAUGUGGGAAGGCGUGUGGGAAGGCAGGUGUUCCUGGAUAGAUGUCCAAACUGAGCUCAGGCUUCGUUCAGUUAUACUCAGCUCAAUCCAACCUGCAUUGUUCAGUCCUGACUAUGAUCAGUUUGCUCUGAAAAGUAGAUGAAAAUGUAGGACUCAAGCCCUUUGGAUCUGGCAAAGUGUAGGCAGGCAAGCACAGAAAGUAUUUAGAACAAGAACAGUUGGGAUGCAUGCUGUCCUGGGAAGCCAGGGUUGUCAUUGAUGGCUGACCUGCCAUAUCACUCAGGCCAAACCUUACUGAUUUAUAGUCCUUGUUAGGCAAUGUUGAAAAUUAUAGUUUUGAGGGCUGAGGAUGCAGCUGGGUUGGUAGAGUGCCUGUUUAGCAAGUGCCUUGGGUUCAGGCCCCAGCACAUCAUAUAAUACAGACAUGGAGGCACACACUUGUAAUCCCAGCACUUGGGAAAUGGAGAAAGGAGGAUAAGAAGGUCAAGA